CAGUAGCCGCGGUAAUACAGAGGGUGCGAGCGUUAAUCGGAUUUACUGGGCGUAAAGCGUGCGUAGGCGGCUUUUUAAGUCGGAUGUGAAAUCCCUGAGCUUAACUUAGAAUUGCAUUCGAUACUGGGAAGCUAGAGUAUGGGAGAGGAUGGUAGAAUUCCAGGUGUAGCGGUGAAAUGCGUAGAGAUCUGGAGGAAUACCGAUGGCGAAGGCAGCCAUCUGGCCUAAUACUGACGCUGAGGUACGAAAGCAUGGGGAGCAAACAGGAUUAGAUACCCCAGUAGUCCCUGUCUCUUAUACC
RNAcentral lists this ribosomal RNA (301 nucleotides) under uncultured bacterium. RNAcentral describes it as "partial 16S ribosomal RNA". It matches the Rfam family "Bacterial small subunit ribosomal RNA", at positions 509 to 808 of the family's 1533-position model. The record is from RNAcentral.